UUCCUUUUGCCUGAAUGCCUGGACUUCUCUCUCCAGCAUCUACCCACCUCCCUCUUACUCCAGAGAAACAGCCUUCAUCUAGAGAUGUUUUAUUUCCAGAAGCACCUCAAGCAGUCCUUGUCUGGUACAUCGAGAAACCACCAAACCUACUCCAAAGCCCAUCAAAUGCAGGAGCUGAUGGACCAAUGCGAUCAUUCCAUGAAAUGGAAAACUCACACUCCAGGAGGGAAGACCUUCCUCGUGCCUCUACUGAGGGACUCUACAAAAAGUCCAACUUCAUCUCUGAUGUUACUGUCAUGUGAAUGCUUAGGAAUCGCUUUGGCAUUUACAACUGAGAUCUCCCUGACUGUGAAGUUUUCAUAACUGCUUCUUUUGAAUUCAUUUUGUAAAUGCUGAUCACUCAAAAAUGAUCAAAGAAUGCAAAGCUUUUAGAGACCAUUGUCAAGCCAUUAGAGCUGUUUCCCUUUUUCUGAUGGUUCAUUCUUCUCCAUCACACUUAUCAGUGAAGUCAAUUUCUUUUAUUGGUUUACUGCAUCAAUUUAUAUUAAGGUAAAGGGUCAAUGUUACCGAUAAUGGCAAAAAAGCACACAAAUUGUUGGAUGCGUUUUAUCUUGAGUUCCCUUCUUUCUUUAAUAAUAUUAAUUUGUGGGCAUUUUCCUCAUGUGUUCAUUGUAACAUAAGAAAGAAUCAUUUCUUACACAUUUUACUGAGGUACAGCAUACAUCCAGAAAAAUGCACUAAUCAGAACAACACGAAGCCUUUUCACAAAGUGAAAUCACCAAUGUGCCCAGAGCUCAAAUCAAGACACCAAACAUUAUCAGAGCCUUAGAAGUGCACUUUGAGCACCUGCCAGUCAGUACCCCCUUUCCACACCCAAAGGUAAACCACUGCCCAGACUUUUAAGGGCACAGAGUAGUUGUACCUGUUUUUAAACUUCACAUAAGUGGAGUCAUACCAUACACGCACUUUUGUAUCUGCCUUCUAUCAUUCAGGAUUAUACGUGUGUGUGUGUGUGUGUGUGUGUGUGUGUGUGUGUGUGGCUGGCUGACUAGUAUGGAGAUCUGAACCCUUGACCUUGGGGUAUCAUGUUUAAUCAUUUGCAUUAUGAAGUUGUGGUUCAAUCAUUCGCAUGCCACAUAGUAUUCCAUUGUUUAAAGAUACCACAUCUGACUUAUUCCUUCUGCUGUUGAGGGACAUUAAGAUUGUUGUCCAUUUUGUUCUGUUACAAACAGUGCUCUGAGAACACUUAUCCGAUAUGUUUUUUGGUGAAUAUAUGUAUAUAUUUCUGUUGGAAUUGUAUCUAGUAAGGAUCAUUUUAAUUUAGAACUUCUUCCUAUAAAAACAAUUCUGAGUAUUCUUGAAGAAGCUGUUAUUUUAUAUUCUCAGUUCCAGAUCCAAACUUCCAGGAGAUUGUUUUUUAUCACCUUUCUUUAUCUGAAAAAUAAACAGAUUUCUAUGGGA
Long non-coding RNA from Galeopterus variegatus (Sunda flying lemur), 1461 nucleotides. RefSeq lists it as uncharacterized. The transcript is spliced from 2 exons. Lineage: Eukaryota; Metazoa; Chordata; Mammalia; Dermoptera; Cynocephalidae. The record is from RefSeq and is a predicted model, not a curated record.